Molecule: ribosomal RNA, 207 nt
Filed under: Triticum aestivum (bread wheat)
Lineage: Eukaryota; Viridiplantae; Streptophyta; Magnoliopsida; Poales; Poaceae
Description: partial small subunit ribosomal RNA
Source: RNAcentral
AUCUUACAAGUGUAUGAGCAUGCGUCUGGGAAGCGGGUUAACCUUCAGAAGUCCUCUAUUUUCUUUGGGAAGGGUUGCACGAAGGACAACGAAAACGUGUUGAAGGGAGUAAUUGGCAUCAACUCUGAAGCCCUCAGCGAAAAGUACCUUGGUCUACCGACGGCGGUGGGCAGAUCCAAAGAUGGCACCUUUAGAUACGUCACAGAG